Molecule: small nuclear RNA, 106 nt
Filed under: Ursus thibetanus thibetanus
Lineage: Eukaryota; Metazoa; Chordata; Mammalia; Carnivora; Ursidae
Source: RNAcentral
GUACUCACUUCAGUAGUACCUAUACUAAGUUGAAAUGAUACAGAAAAGAUUAUCAUGGCCCUUGUGCAAGGAUGACAUGCAAAUGCAUGAAGCAUUCCAUAUUUAA